CCCUACGCACACACACGCACACACAUGCGCAGCAAGACUCCUCCCUGGAGGUGGAAGUAGCGGUGAUGUCAGGCUCCUGGACUUGUCUAUUCAACCCGGUCAGGACAGCAGCUUGGUCUUCCCAGGUGAGGAACUGAGGACUGGCCUGUACAGAUUUGUGCAGUAGCGAGGGCCGAGGUAGGGGCAGAUAGACCACCAGACAGGAGGAGAAGGACAGGAGUACAGAUGGAGGGACCAGGACA
This is a long non-coding RNA of Gorilla gorilla gorilla (western lowland gorilla), 242 nucleotides long. RefSeq lists it as uncharacterized. NCBI's taxonomy places the organism in Eukaryota, Metazoa, Chordata, Mammalia, Primates, Hominidae. The record is from RefSeq and is a predicted model, not a curated record. The transcript has 3 exons.